GUGCAUCUGAUGUGAACUAGAGCAGAUUAUAUUUUUGAUUCUUUUAAAAGUUAUACAUCUUUUUGUUGCAAAACCUGCCCAAAGAACCUCUUCCCCAGUUUAUGCCAAAUCCUCCUUCCCUCAUUCCAGUGAGAAUUCCCUUCAUUGUCAGCGGUCAGAAUUUUCAAAUUUGUCUGCCACAAGUUAGGUGCCUAAAUCCAUAUUUAGAUACUAAAAUGAGCACUCUGGUUUUCAAACAUCCUGAGCAACCACAGUUCCCAUUGAUUUCAGAGGGAGCUGUGAGUAGUCAGCACUUUUGAAAAUCAGGUCACUUAUUUAUUUACAUGCUUACAUAUGAAUUUAGGUGCCUGACUUUUGGCAGUCAAGUUUGAAAAUUUUGGCCAAGAACAAUGGAACAGGUUAGUAUCAUAUAUUCAGCAUGAUUUUUAAGCACUAUUUAAAUAUCUAUAUCAGGAGAAAAAGGGUCAGCAAUACAUAGCUCCUUUACAAAGUGGGUUCCCCUCACCUCCACCCUGCCCAUUCUGGUGGGGGUUGCAGCAAUUUUGUUAAAAGAAAUGCAAACUUGCAAACUACCUUGCUGCUUUUAUGGAUAAAUAAACUCCUUUCAUUGUUACUCCCAUGUUGCAGCAGCAGGAAGUGGAUUUAAUUAGCAAAAUGCAUGUUAGAACCAGGAAAUGUAAUAUACAAGGUGACAUUGAAAUUACAGGGCCUUCUUUGUGCUACAGCAAUCUUCAAUUCCAGAGGCUAAUGUUCCUGUCUGCAGUGACCUCUCAAAUUGUCUUCGUUCAGUGUCUCUUUUAGCACCUGUAAUGAAUCCUAGAGCAGAAAAAGACCUCACGGUUGAACUGAACACAGGCAGCAUCAGAAAGAAUUGAAGAGCUCUCCCAUUUCAGCUAAAGGAGAAUCUUCACUGUAGAGUUUAAAUCUUCUAACCAGCCACUAGAAUCAUAGAAAUGUAGGGCUUGAAGGGAAGAAUACUUGAAGGGAUCUAGUAUUCUACUCCAGCCCCCUGCACAAAAGCAGAAUCAAGUAUACGUAGAGGGUGAUAAUCUUGUCUUUUUGAGAAGUUCUGACUUUCUUUUUAGAGAAGGCCGUGGCACAUACACAUGCUAGUCAGUAUAUAUUGCAUAUCACUUUUAUAUUUUAUACCCUGCAGCUAUUUCCAAUAUGUGGGCCAAAUCCUGAACUCCUUACUCUCCGUGUACUUACACAGGCAAAAUUCCCAUUAACAAGGACCAAGUACAAACUGAAUAAGGAGCUCAGUUUUUUCCCUUAUAGCGGGGUAAUAAGAGAGAAAAUGAUUGAUGGUGAUAGCAUAGUUCAAAUAAUUCUUGAUGUUAAAAUAUAUAAAUUAAAAGCAUGUUUAUUAGUGUGUCACGUAAUUGAGUUUUGAGCACACUUUAAUGUGGUAAAUUCUUAUAGCACCACUGAACAGUUCUAAUCGUUUCAAGAAAUGGCUCAUCUGCUAUCCUCUCACACUGCAUUAUACACUCUCCCUUAAGAAGAACAGGAGUACUUGUUUCAGAGUAACAGCCCUGUUAGUCUGUAUUCG
Long non-coding RNA from Chelonia mydas (Green sea turtle), 1552 nucleotides. RefSeq lists it as uncharacterized. The record is from RefSeq and is a predicted model, not a curated record. The transcript has 2 exons. Lineage: Eukaryota; Metazoa; Chordata; Testudines; Cheloniidae.